UACGAAGGGGGCGAGCGUUGUUCGGAAUUACUGGGCGUAAAGGGCGCGUAGGCGGCGACCCAAGUCAGAUGUGAAAGUCCUGGGCUUAACCUGGGGACUGCAUUUGAUACUGGGUUGCUUGAAUUCGGGAGAGGAUAGCGGAAUUCCCAGUGUAGAGGUGAAAUUCGUAGAUAUUGGGAAGAACACCGAUGGCGAAGGCAGGUCUCUGGGCAUUAACUGACGCUGAGGAGCGAAAGCAUGGGGAGCGAACGAGG
Molecule: ribosomal RNA, 254 nt
Filed under: uncultured bacterium
Lineage: Bacteria
Description: partial 16S ribosomal RNA
Rfam family: Bacterial small subunit ribosomal RNA
Source: RNAcentral